RNAcentral lists this ribosomal RNA (254 nucleotides) under uncultured bacterium. RNAcentral describes it as "partial 16S ribosomal RNA". It matches the Rfam family "Bacterial small subunit ribosomal RNA", at positions 524 to 776 of the family's 1533-position model. The record is from RNAcentral.
UACGGAGGGGGCGAGCGUUAUUCGGAAUUACUGGGCGUAAAGGGCGCGUAGGCGGCCACGUCAAGCCACUCGUGAAAUCUCCGGGCUUAACUCGGAACGGUCAAGUGAUACUGUCGGGCUAGAGUGCAGAAGGGGCAACUGGAAUUCUCGGUGUAGCGGUGAAAUGCGUAGAUAUCGAGAGGAACACCUGCGGCGAAGGCGGGUUGCUGGGCUGGCACUGACGCUGAGGCGCGAAAGCCAGGGGAGCGAACGGG